RNAcentral lists this ribosomal RNA (278 nucleotides) under uncultured bacterium. Its description in RNAcentral is "partial 16S ribosomal RNA". It matches the Rfam family "Bacterial small subunit ribosomal RNA", at positions 506 to 784 of the family's 1533-position model. The record is from RNAcentral.
UGCCAGCCGCCGCGGUAAUACGGAGGGUGCAAGCGUUAUCCGGAAUCACUGGGUUUAAAGGGUACGUAGGCGGUUUACUAAGUCAGACGUCAAAGGCCGUAGCUAAACUAUGGUACGCGUUUGAAACUGGUAAACUUGAAUAUGUUUGAAGUGUGUAGAAUGGGUCAUGUAGCGGUGAAAUGCAUAGAUAUGACAUAGAACACCGAUAGCGAAGGCAGCUCACUAAGUCAUCAUUGACGCUGAGGGACGAAAGCGUGGGGAGCGAACAGGAUUAGAUA